This 235-nucleotide long non-coding RNA is filed under the name Elaeis guineensis (African oil palm). RNAcentral describes it as "long non-coding RNA (EGUI_LNC010476)". Lineage: Eukaryota; Viridiplantae; Streptophyta; Magnoliopsida; Arecales; Arecaceae. The record is from RNAcentral.
GGUGAGGGCAUAUAUGAACUGAAUGAUGGAAGAUCCAGGAUCGAAAAUGAUGAUGAGCAAUAUCAUCUGGUACCUCCGCUAUGCAAUGCAGGUGCUUUUGAUGAUGAGGGAUGCAUGAAAUGUGAAGGAGUGGACUUUAUAGUGCCAUGGCUAUGAUCAUGGAUAUUGAUGGAGAUACGAGUAUGCUGUCGGAUGGCGUAGAGGCCUAAAGUACAAAUAUCUUGGAUGAGCUGUC